AUUGAACGCUGGCGGCAUGCCUUACACAUGCAAGUCGAACGGUAACAGGUCUUCGGAUGCUGACGAGUGGCGAACGGGUGAGUAAUACAUCGGAACGUGCCUAGUAGUGGGGGAUAACUACUCGAAAGAGUGGCUAAUACCGCAUGAGAUCUACGGAUGAAAGCAGGGGAUCGCAAGACCUUGUGCUACUAGAGCGGCCGAUGGCAGAUUAGGUAGUUGGUGGGAUAAAAGCUUACCAAGCCGACGAUCUGUAGCUGGUCUGAGAGGACGAUCAGCCACACUGGGACUGAGACACGGCCCAGACUCCUACGGGAGGCAGCAGUGGGGAAUUUUGGACAAUGGGCGAAAGCCUGAUCCAGCAAUGCCGCGUGCAGGAUGAAGGCCUUCGGGUUGUAAACUGCUUUUGUACGGAACGAAAAGCCCCGGGUUAAUACCCUGGGGUCAUGACGGUACCGUAAGAAUAAGCACCGGCUAACUACGUGCCAGCAGCCGCCUAA
This 497-nucleotide ribosomal RNA is filed under the name uncultured bacterium. RNAcentral describes it as "partial 16S ribosomal RNA". It matches the Rfam family "Bacterial small subunit ribosomal RNA", at positions 30 to 522 of the family's 1533-position model. The record is from RNAcentral.